Molecule: ribosomal RNA, 448 nt
Filed under: uncultured bacterium
Lineage: Bacteria
Description: bacterial SSU rRNA
Rfam family: Bacterial small subunit ribosomal RNA
Source: RNAcentral
ACUCCUACGGGAGGCAGCAGUGGGGAAUAUUGCACAAUGGGCGCAAGCCUGAUGCAGCAACGCCGCGUGAGUGAUGAAGGCCUUCGGUCGUAAAGCUCUGUCCUCAAGGAAGAAUAAAUAGACGGUACUUGAGGAGGAAGCCCGGCUAACUACGUGCCAGCAGCCGCGGUAAUACGUAGGGGGCAAGCGUUAUCCGGAAUCACUGGGCGUAAAGGGGUGCGUAGGCGGUUUUCAAGUCAGAAGUGAAAGGCUAUGGCUCAACCAUAGUAAGCUUUUGAAACUGUUAAACUUGAGUGCAGGAGAGGAAAGUGGAAUUCCUAGUGUAGAGGUGAAAUUCGUAGAUAUUAGGAGGAACACCAGUGGCGAAGGCGACUUUCUGGACUGUAACUGACGCUGAGGCACGAAAGCGUGGGGAGCGAACAGGAUUAGAUACCCUGGUAGCACAGAG